This 460-nucleotide unclassified non-coding RNA is filed under the name Hevea brasiliensis (rubber tree). Lineage: Eukaryota; Viridiplantae; Streptophyta; Magnoliopsida; Malpighiales; Euphorbiaceae. The record is from RNAcentral.
GAACCCGAAUAGCACUCCCCACUCGAGCCCUUCACCAGUGGUCUUGAGCCCAUCCGCCGCGGACUUCUUCCUCAUCUCAUCCAAUAUAAACAACACGCACGCACUUGACAUAUUACCGUACUCACUUAGCACGUGCCUCGUGGCCCGUAGCUUCUCUUCCUUAAGGCCCAACUUUAAUUCCACCUGAUCCAAAAUAGCAGGCCCACCAGGAUGUGCAAUCCAAAACAAAGAGUUCCAAUCAGAGAUGCCCAAGGGUUGGAAUGCUUCCGCCAAACUCUUUUCAAUGUUCUUGGAGAUGAGCCCAGGAACAUCCUUGAGGAGGUGAAAUGUAAGGCCCACUUCACGGAGGUGUCCGUCAAUGGCACCGUCACUAUCGGGGAGAAUGGUUUGGGCCGCUGAGACCAACUCGAACAACGGUUUCUCAACCUCUGGAAUUGGGUCUGACCCAACUAUAAUAGCA